Long non-coding RNA from Raphanus sativus (radish), 733 nucleotides. RefSeq lists it as uncharacterized. The transcript is spliced from 3 exons. NCBI's taxonomy places the organism in Eukaryota, Viridiplantae, Streptophyta, Magnoliopsida, Brassicales, Brassicaceae. The record is from RefSeq and is a predicted model, not a curated record.
GUCUCCUUCUUGCAUUGAUACAUUCUUUACUCACAGCUUCUGCGUGAUUAACCCACUUCUCCCACUCUGCAUCAUUCGAUCGACCUCAUCGCAUCCCCAAAAUAACCGUCCAAAAAUCUGAUUAUAUAUAUCCCCUCUUCCAGCGAUGAACAGCAUAACUUUGAUGAGAUAAAAAACCUUACUCUUUUCUACGAACCAUGGCGAAUUCCUUCGUCCUCCUAGCUGAUUUGAAAGCUGGGCGCUUGGAUCCUCUGCAAUGAGAUAUUGUGAAUUCCUAAGCGUUGUACACCGUCACUUAUGGUUGCUGCAGGUCGUUCCAGUGUUCAAGGUCCUGAAAGUUUCUGUCUUAUGGCUGUGGAACCAUUUCGUAAUGUGGCUCUUGAAGAAGAUGGGAGGCUCUUUGCAGAACCCCUCAUCCUGUCCCAGUCCAAGGCUUUGAUGAUCUCUCACUUUGGUGGAUGGUUGGGGGAAGAGGAGAACGAGGAAGAGUUUAGGUGACAGUGACAAGAUCAGCAAAAUAUUCCACAGAAAGUUAAUCUUCUCCAUGACAAAGAUAUCCUUGAGGUUGUAAAGCCUUAAACUUUAAUUAUUUUGAGAACUCUAAAAGAGGAUCUCAUUUAUUAUUAUUUUUUUAACCGGCCAGAACAUCUCAUUUAUGUAAAGAAGCAUUAAAAUUUAAAGAUCAUUAACCUUUUACAAAUACGUUGGAUAUUGGAGAAUAUUGACCAUAGAU